RNAcentral lists this ribosomal RNA (408 nucleotides) under uncultured bacterium. Its description in RNAcentral is "bacterial SSU rRNA". It matches the Rfam family "Bacterial small subunit ribosomal RNA", at positions 42 to 452 of the family's 1533-position model. The record is from RNAcentral.
UCAGGCCUAACACAUGCAAGUCGUACGAGGUGUAAAUAAUUCACUUGUGAAUUGUUUAUUACUACAGUGGCGCACGGGUGAGUAACACGUAAGAACCUGCCUUUUGGAGGGGGAUAACAUAGGGAAACCUUUGCUAAUACCCCAUAAAGCUGAGGAGCUAAAUCGCAUUUGCGGCCAAGAGAGGGGCUUGCGCCUGAUUAGCUAGUUGGGGAGGUAAUGGCUUCCCAAGGCCACGAUCAGUAGUUGGUCUGAGAGGAUGAUCAGCCACACUGGGACUGAGACACGGCCCAGACUCCUACGGGAGGCAGCAGUGAGGAAUUUUCCGCAAUGGGCGAAAGCCUGACGGAGCAAUACCGCGUGAAGGAAGAGGGAUCGUGGUCUGUAAACUUCUUUCUCAGAGAAGAAGAU